GGAGCUCUCCCAUAUGGUCGACCUGCAGGCGGCCGCGAAUUCACUAGUGAUUGUUUGAUCCUGGCUCAGAUUGAACGCUGGCGGCAGGCUUAACACAUGCAAGUCGAACGGUAACAGAGAAUAGCUUGCUAUUCUGCUGACGAGUGGCGGACGGGUGAGUAAUGCUUGGGAAUUUGCCGAAAGGUGGGGGACAACAGUUGGAAACGACUGCUAAUACCGCAUAAUGUCUACGGACCAAAGGUGGCCUCUAUUUAUAUGCUAUCGCCUUUCGAUGAGCCCAAGUGGGAUUAGCUAGUUGGUAAGGUAAUGGCUUACCAAGGCGACGAUCCCUAGCUGGUCUUAGAGGAUGACCAGCCACACUGGAACUGAGACACGGUCCAGACUCCUACGGGAGGCAGCAGUGGGGAAUAUUGCACAAUGGGGGAAACCCUGAUGCAGCCAUGCCGCGUGUGUGAAGAAGGCUUUCGGGUUGUAAAGCACUUUCAGCGAGGAGGAAAGGGUGAUGGCUAAUAUCCAUCAUCUGUGACGUUACUCGCAGAAGAAGCACCGGCUAACUCCGUGCCAGCAGCCGCGGUAAUACGGAGGGUGCAAGCGUUAAUCGGAAUUACUGGGCGUAAAGCGCGCGUAGGUGGUUAAUUAAGUCAGAUGUGAAAGCCCAGGGCUCAACCUUGGAACUGCAUUUGAAACUGGUUGACUAGAGUUUUGUAGAGGGUGGUAGAAUUUCAGGUGUAGCGGUGAAAUGCGUAGAGAUCUGAAGGAAUACCAGUGGCGAAGGCGGCCACCUGGACAAAGACUGACACUGAGGCGCGAAGGCGUGGGGAGCAAACGGGAUUAGAUACCCCGGUAGUCCACGCAGUAAACGAUGUCUAUUAGAAAGUUUGUGGCUAUAUGCCGUGGGUUUCAAAGCUAACGCAUUAAAUAGACCGCCUGGGGAGUACGGCCCGC
This 945-nucleotide ribosomal RNA is filed under the name Alteromonadales bacterium. Its description in RNAcentral is "bacterial SSU rRNA". It matches the Rfam family "Bacterial small subunit ribosomal RNA", at positions 1 to 889 of the family's 1533-position model. Lineage: Bacteria; Pseudomonadati; Pseudomonadota; Gammaproteobacteria; Alteromonadales. The record is from RNAcentral.